Molecule: long non-coding RNA, 588 nt
Organism: Papaver somniferum (opium poppy)
Lineage: Eukaryota; Viridiplantae; Streptophyta; Magnoliopsida; Ranunculales; Papaveraceae
Exons: 4
Source: RefSeq, a predicted model, not a curated record
CCCUAAUGGUACUGAUCCUUACUAGAUACUGGUUUAUUUAGAUUAUUAGUUGCCUGGUGUGGUGCCAGAUCCGCGAAAAUGGUGGAGGCUCUUUAUAUAAACAAGUCGAGGAACCAUUGUUGAUUCUGGAACAACUUUGGCAUACCUAGCUGAAGAAACGUUUGAUCCAUUUGUCGAUGCUCUUGUUACUGUUGUUCAACAGACCCCGUAAAACCUUUUAUAGAUAAAACAUGAACCCAAUGUUUUAUUGCACAAACCAGGUAUUUGGGCUAAAGUCAAAAAGCAGUAGUCUAGUGAUACUGUAACGGCAGCUGAAUCAACCUAUGAUUUGCGGAGGAAAUUGUUUAAGCAAGCGGAGUCUCGUGAUACUUCUGGUGAUAUUUUAGUCUUUCUUUCCAUAUUUUCCAAUGCCUCUGUCAGUUGACACAAACUAGGUUACCCAUCCAUUUAUGAACAUCAGCAUGGGUGGAAUAUUGUAUGUCAGUCACAAAAUUUUAGGUUCUCAACAAUACAGUUUACUUGUGUACAUUUGUAUGAAUUGAAGAAUCCUUUCUUUUAUAAUAAUAUCAUGUGGUGGUGAUUCUCAGC